UUCUGUUUUAAUACAGGCACAAUUGCGUUUUACUUACUCGAGGACCCCCGUUUCUAGAAUGUCGCACUUGCGCUUGGCCUCAAAAUCGAAAUACUUGUUUCGAAGUCCUUAAGCACCUCUCAUUACGCAACGAAGGAGUUCACAAGCAUGAGCAAGGCACUACUUAGACUUCUUCGAUGGAGCACCAUUUUCGCAUUUUGUGAUGCCUCUUCGAAAGCAGUCAUAAGCAAGAGUGUACCUUGUAAGUUAAUUAUGUGAAAGAAGGACGAAAGGUUCUCUGUACCAUUGGGCGUCUUACUUUAUAAUAGAUCUAAAUGUUGUCAUGGAUAAUGUACUGU
Molecule: long non-coding RNA, 338 nt
Filed under: Rhipicephalus microplus (southern cattle tick)
Lineage: Eukaryota; Metazoa; Arthropoda; Arachnida; Ixodida; Ixodidae
Description: uncharacterized LOC119186538, transcript variant X2
Source: RNAcentral